ACCCGGACUCUUCGUGAGACAAAUAGGUCAAAAGAACCUGAAAAGUUCUCACACUAAUGUCUGAUUUUAUGGUGAAGAGAUGAUGCUAUCUACAUCCAAGUGAUCUUGCUUUGUCUACUUAUGCUCUUGUCAAGUCAUCUCCAUUUGCGCUUCGCCCAACAUCAAGCCAUCUUCAUUUGAGGUUCAAACUUGUCAUGUUGCUUUCACACCACGCCAAGUUUGCGGGGGAGUAUUAGAGGAUCCAUAUGAAACCCAAUAUAGUGUCUCAUGAGUAAUCCAAAAGCCCAUGUAACUAGGGUUAGCAAGAUAGUGACUCAUAUAUAUAGUUAUGUAAUGAGAGCUUUGAGAGCAACUUUGAGAGUUGGAAACAACUCUCCUCCUUCAUCUUAUGAAAUAUCAAUUCUAGAAUCAUUGGAUCUUGGUGACAAACCUUAAGCUUCUUUCCCUUCUUUACAUUUCUUAAUAAAGCUCUUAAUGAGUUAUCUAAUUUCAGUUUAUAUUUCUUUCAAUAAGCAUCAAUCUAUGUUUGCUUUAGAAUUGUCUACAACCGUUACUCACAUUUCUUAACUGGACCACUAGUGGGUCUUCAAAUGAUGUCAUGAACUUCACAUUCUUUGUUUGAAAUUUAUGAGGUAAACGACAUGUGUUUCCGUAGAAAGUUUCAUAUAGCAUUAUAACUAUACAGAUUUCGGACCUCUAUCCCACUUCAUAUGAAAGUUAAAGUCCAAUUUCUCCUUAAAUCGCAAGUUCGAAUCCUUAAUUUUCAUAAAUUCAAAUUUUGUAGUUUAUCUUUGGUUUACAGUGUCGAAGCAAUGCCAAACGAAAACCAAGUAGACUAAACCAAAUAUAAAUUGAGGGAGUUAAGUGAGUCUCCUGGACUAGUCGUCGUCGUUGUCCAAGUCUACCUAUAUAUAUAUCUUUUUUUUUUUUUUCUAUUUCUGAAAAAUCUUCCAAGUCUACUUGCACCAUCUUGUACGCCUUAUUAGUUAUUACUGAGUCUAUGGGCACAACCAAAUGAAAGCUGAAAGCUCUUCGAUUGACUAAUAAAUCUCGAUUAUUUUUCAUCUUUCCAUUUUCACAAUUCCAUUUAUUUAUUUUUUUAUAAAAAACAAUUUAACUUCAUUUAUUUUCUUUAUAUAAAACUUACAAGAAAAUCAUUUUAAUAAGACCAAAUAUUUAUCAAAAAAUAAUAAAUAUUUUGUUACGAUAAAAAAUAUUAAAAAUUUAUGACAAUUUUAAAUAUGUUUUUUAAUUAAAUGUUAAAUUAUAUUCAAAGAAAAAAUAUCGUUGUUACAACAAGGUACAAUACAAUCAUCACAACUUUUUUGCUGUAAAAAAAAAAAAACACUUUUUUGCUGUAACUAAGAGCAUGCACAUAGUUGAUAUCCUAUGAGUAUCAUUAACAAUUUUUUACUAUUAAUUUUAAUGUUUUUUAUUGUUUGAUAUUUUUUAUGAUAUUCGUAAUAAAUUGUUUCCAGUGGUGAGACCGAUAUUGGUAUCAUUAAAAACAAAAUAUUUAUAAAAUCAAAAAAUAAAUUUAUAAAAAUAUAAGAUUACAAAAUUACUGUAAAAUUAUGUCGCAUAAUCACGAAAAACCUACAAAAUUACUUACUCGCAGAAAAUAUAGCUAGUUGACUAAAAUAGUAGAAAGACUAUCAGAGAGAAAAAUGAAUUAUUUUUUUUCAAGAAAAAACGACUUUCAAAAACGAAUCAUGAGCCUCCACAUCAUCUGAUACUGGGUAUCAAAAGAAUCACUGCAGUGAUACGGUAUCAAGCCUAAAUCUAUUGUUUGAUCUAUUAAAAAUUAUUUAUGACUCUUGAUACUCUAAAUGUCUCACCUAUGUACAUGGUCUAAAACGUCACAUAUAUUGCGACAAACAAAUCGAGUAGCUAUUUCGUCACAAUAUGUAACAAUUGGUAAGCUUAUCAAAACCAUCACUAAUGCAUAAUGAAAUUAUCAUCUCUAAACCGUGACCGAUACCGAGUCUCAAGUUCGUUACUAAUUACGACGAAACUAUAGUUUCAAAAUUUCAUAGUUAAUGACUUAUAAAGUAUCACUUAUCUGGCACAUAUUACUAACUAAAAAACUGUCCUCGAACAAUCAUAUUUUUUGCUCCAUUACAACAAUUAUUUUUGUCUUAAACUGUCACAAAUGAAUACUAAAAAUUAUGGUAAUUAGUCAAAAGUAUUAACUAAAACUAUUGUUUCAAAACCGUCAUAUUUUGUGACUAUAAUAACGUCUUAAUUAUGUCACUCCUAACAACAAACCCAUAGUUUCAAACCGUCGCAAACGAUAACCAAAACAAAAGUCUCAUAUUCGUAAACAAAACAGCAACUUUUUUUUUUCUUGAAACCCUUGUGUUUGGUUACUACGACAGACUCAUCUCCAAUCCGAUUUGACAUUAUUGUUUUACUCAAUUAUUAUCACAAUGAUACAAAAGCUUAUCAUGUAUUAGAUAUUCAUUAUAAAUUAAUAUUAUAAUAUGAAUUUAUUAAUUCAUAAUUAAAAAAACAAACCAAUAUCCAUUAACGUAACCAUGAAAUAUAAAUAAAAUCCAAAACAAAUAACGUGAUAUGAGAUAGAAUUAAAAGCCUAAGUUAUCCUGAGGAAACUAAAUAAAACCCUACUAAAUAAAAUAGCAAAUUCAAUUAAGCAGCAAAUCAAAUUUAAUUUCUUGGAGAUUAUUCCUCGAGGAGUAAAUUCUCAUCAGGAAUAUUUUUCAAUUCAUUUUCAAGUUCUUCAAUUUGAUGAGUCUACCAUUUAUUAGAACACACAUAAAAGCCCAAACUAUAUUUUUAUAGAAGCCUAUCCAAACUCAUGUAAUUAGGUUAUCUAGCAAGUAGUCUCUCAUGUAUAUAUUCAUGUAUUGUGAACUAUGUGUGUAACCUAGAGAGUUGCCACAUUGAGCAACUCUUCUCUAGUCUCUAUUGUAUGAAAUCAAAUCCAAAUCUAUUUUACUCUUGAAGACAACUUAAAACUUUCACCUUUCUCUCUUCUUUUCAUUUUCAAUAAAGCUCAUUGAGCUAUUGCAUUUUCAAUCUCUUCUAAUAAGCUCAAUGAGCAUAUAUUUAGAAAUGUUUGCAUGGUAUCAGAGCAUCAGUCCAUCUAAGGGAUUUAUGGUUUUACUCUCACUAUCUUAGUCUCUGCUCACUCUUUGAAACGUCGAGCCUUCUAUCUUUCCCACAAUAUCUAAAGCAAGGCUAGUCUUUAGUUUCUCUCACUUUCAGUAAACCCGACAGAAGAAAUCUUAGUCUCAUUAUCUAUGGAUAAGAUUCCAGUCUCGUCAGCGACAAAGUUUUCUGUUAAAGAAUCACAAAAGCUUGAUGAAUCUGAUGAAGGAGAAGCAACGAGAGCUAAAGCAAGAACUUGAGAGAUUGGAGAAGAAAAGGUGAAGACUGGUUUCUGAGGAAGAGAGGCAGAAUUGGUUGAAGAUUUCUAUGUAUUAAACGAAGAGAUCAGAGCCACCACUGCUUGAGUAUGACUCUGCCUUGUCUAGUACGCCAGGUGUUCGACGAAAAUUCCAGACUUGAAUGUUGUCUCAGCUACAUCGGAGAUAUAAACGGUAAUGUAUUUGCCUUGCUCUGAAACAGAACAAGAGUAAUGAUGAUGGUUGGUUUAGAUUUCUAGGUCUGGAAUUGAGAAGUUAGAAUGAAAUAGGUUGUUUAGUUUGGACAAAUCAGAUUAGGAGCACUUUGCUCAAUCUAUCUUCAUGGAACGUUGGCUGUUGAUGAGCUCUUGGAAGGGCUAAAAGCUGGUCUUGGUUUUGUUUUGAUAAAGAUGUGUUUAUGGGCUGCAAAACUCUGUUGAUUUUAUGGCAAACACAAGUUUUUGAUUGACGCACGUAAGAUGUUCGAUAAAAUGCCGUAGAGAAGAGAAACUGAGUAUAUAGAUGCAAAUUGUGAUUGGCUAAAGAAUGAGAAACAGAUAGCUAGUAGGAUCUAAGUAGUUGUGGGAAGAGAAUUCUUCUUCUUCAUGGGACAGCUUAGGGGAGUUAAACGAGGUAAAGAAAACCCGGACUCUUCGUGAGACAAAUAGGUCAAAAGAACCUGAAAAGUUCUCACACUAAAGACUGAUUUUAUGGUGAAGAGAUGCUACUAUCUACAACCAAGUGAUCUUGCUUUGUCUACUCAUGCUCUUGUCAAGUCAUCUCCAUUUGUGCUGCCAUUUCAAUUGAAGUUCAAACUUGUCAUGUUGCUUCCACACCACGCCAAGUUUGCGGGGGAAUAUUAGAACACACAUAAAAGCCCAAACUAUAUCUUUAUAGAAGCCCAUCCAAACCCAUGUAAUUAGGUUAUCUAGCAAGUAGUCUCUCAUAUAUAUAUUCAUGUAUUGUGAACUAUGUGUGUAACCUAGAGAGUUGCCAC
RNAcentral lists this long non-coding RNA (4365 nucleotides) under Arabidopsis thaliana (thale cress). RNAcentral describes it as "long non-coding RNA (ATHA_LNC000700)". Lineage: Eukaryota; Viridiplantae; Streptophyta; Magnoliopsida; Brassicales; Brassicaceae. The record is from RNAcentral.